Long non-coding RNA from Marmota flaviventris (yellow-bellied marmot), 1837 nucleotides. RefSeq lists it as uncharacterized. The record is from RefSeq and is a predicted model, not a curated record. Lineage: Eukaryota; Metazoa; Chordata; Mammalia; Rodentia; Sciuridae.
GUGUGUAGAAGAGGGAGGGAGGUAUCUUGAAGAGAUGAUGCUCUAGGUCUAUACCACAGACCUGGGGUCAGGGAUGGGAAGGGUCAGGUUCUGCUUUACGGCACUGCCCAGGCCUGAGGCUUACCUGCGACAGCUGUCCAACUUCCAGGUAGAAGCAGAUGAUGAACGCAUUCCAGCCGACCCAGAGCACCAGCCAGGCUGCAUACUGGGGAGAGCAGAGGUACCAACAGGGUCAAUUUCAUAGGAAGCUUUUCCCUCAAGACAGCCAUGUAAGGAGGUCACUGAGGAUCAGCAGGGCACGUGGGUGAGUCUCACUGAAAGCAGGAGUUUGAGAGGCCAAGAGGAGGUGGGGGAGGGUGUUGGGGACACAGUCAGACCCCUGGGGCUAGAGGGCAGGGAGCCACUGACUUCAAAGCCACACUCGUGGCUCCAGUCCUUGAUGAACAUCAGUCAGCAAGGACAAAACCCAAGCCCCACAAAGCCCCCUCAGCACUCUGAGAAACAGCCUGAGGCCCAUCCCUCCUGUGGCUGUCCCCAGGGCUUACGGAGGCGUGAUGGGGCAAGAGCCUUGGUUCCAGACCUGAAGUUCUGAUCCCGGCUCUGCCUCACUAGCUGUGUGACCUUAGGAAGCCUCAUGACCUUUCUGAGCUUCAGCUUCCUCAUCUGGAAAAUGGAGAUGGUAGGACACACCUCACGGGGCCCACGAAAAUCUCAGUAGUGUGCCCGGUGCAUGCUGGGUACUUGCUAAAUGGAAUAUCUUGUUGAUGCUGGGACUGUUUCUCUGGAAAAUUCUUUGAGAAAAAUAUCAACCUGGUCUCUGAGCAAAGGUCCUUUGGGACCUGGACGUUCAGCCCCUCGGCGGUGGAGGCCAAUGCCAGUCCAUCUGGACCCAGGGUUGGAGGAGCAGGCAGGGCUGGGUGGACAGGGGUGAGGGCAGGGGCUGGCUCAGGAAGGGGCAGUGAGUCAUACCAGGAUGAGGUACCGGGAGCGGUACUGCACGGUGCCGAAGAUGCCCAGGAUGACGGCCAUGAUGUGCAGGAAGUUGGCCAGGAUGGGAGCCCACUGGUAGCCCAGGAAGUCAAAGAUCUGCCGCUGCAGCGCAGCCACCUGUGGGAGAGAGAGGCUGAGCCCACGGUGGUCCUGGCGAGGGAAGGUCAGACACGCCCCCUUGACCUGUGGAGCAGGUGAUGCCAGUUACCAUGGCGACGAGGCAAGUCUCAGAGACAUCCAGCUCCUCAGUACCAGAGGGAUGCUGGGAAGUGGGGGCAAAUCUGUAGGAGCGAGGGAGGGGCCCCAAAGCCUGGUCAUCACUUCGGGGUGCGCUGGAGGGAGGCAGGAGCCAGGAUACCCCCACCCUGCUCAGGACACCCUCCCCACUGGGGCUCCAGCUCCUGCCCCUUCCCCACCUGGGAAGGCUGCUGGGGUCAGGGCCCAGGCUGCUCCCCAGCAGGUGAGGGAGAGGACUGAACCCCAGCCCUAGGGAAAGCCCGGAGUCUGUCACCAAUUAGAAGUUGUCCUGGCCCACGGAAUCCCCAGGCCGCAGAGAAGGGAUUUUUUUUACUCCCCUUCCCUGAGGGAGCUAUGGUAGAUUGGUUGCUUUGCCCAAUGAACUUCAGAAGAUGACGCAUGUGAAAGUUUGAGAAAGGAGUGCCCUGGCGCUUGCCCACCUGCUUCACUUGUAACAGAGACCACCCAGUGAAGGAGCCCGAGCUGACUUGAUGGAGGACGAGGGUCACCUGCUGACAGCCAGUCACCCUCAGACACAUGGCCCAGAGCAGGAUUGCCCUGUUGGCCCGCAGAAUCAUGAGCUAAACAAAAUGACUGUUUUAAACCAAGA